RNAcentral lists this ribosomal RNA (905 nucleotides) under uncultured archaeon. Its description in RNAcentral is "bacterial SSU rRNA". It matches the Rfam family "Archaeal small subunit ribosomal RNA", at positions 27 to 907 of the family's 1478-position model. The record is from RNAcentral.
CUGCUAUCGGGAUAGGACUAAGACAUGCUAGUCAGGCGCUCUCUAGCCAAUGUGAGAGUGCGGCGCACAGCUCAGUAACACGUGGCUAACCUGCCCUUAGGACGGAGACACCCCCGGGAAACUGGGGUUAAUCCCCGAUAGGUGAAGAACUCUGGAAUUAGUCUUUGCCUAAAAGACGCUCACGCUAUGCUUGUGGGCGCCGCCUAAGGAUGGGGCCGCGACCGAUCAGGUUGUUGGUGAGGCAAAGGCUCACCAAGCCUUUUACCGGUGCGGGCCGUGGGAGCGGGAGCCCGGAGAUGGGCACUGAGACAAGGGCCCAGGCCCUACGGGGCGCAGCAGUCGCGAAAACUUUGCAAUACACGAAAGUGUGACAGGGCUAUCCCGAGUGCCAUCCGCUGAGGAAGGCUUUUACCCAGUGUAGAAAGCUGGGAGAAUAAGGAGAGGGCAAGACUGGUGUCAGCCGCCGCGGUAAUACCAGCUCUCCGAGUGGUGUGGAUGUUUAUUGGGCCUAAAGCAUCCGUAGCUGGCUGGGCAAGUCCCCUGUUAAAUCCACCGAUUCAAUCGUUGGUGUGCGGGGGAUACUGUUCGGCUAGGGGACGGGAGAGGCCGACGGUAUUUUCGGGGUAGGGGUGAAAUCCUAUAAUCCCGGGAAGACCACCAGUGGCGAAGGCUGUCGGCUAGAACGCGCCCAACGGUGAGGGAUGAAAGCUGGGGGAGCGAACCGGAUUAGAUACCCGGGUAGUCCCAGCUGUAAACGAUGCAGGCUAGGUGUUUGGGCGGCCACGUGCCGCUCUAGUGCCGCAAAGAAGUUGUUAAGCCUGCCGCCUGGGGAGUACGGCCGCAAGGCUGAAACUUAAAGGAAUUGGCGGGGGAGCACCACAAGGGGUGAAGCUUGCGGUUUAAUU